RNAcentral lists this long non-coding RNA (1045 nucleotides) under Theobroma cacao (cacao). RNAcentral describes it as "long non-coding RNA (TCAC_LNC000680)". Lineage: Eukaryota; Viridiplantae; Streptophyta; Magnoliopsida; Malvales; Malvaceae. The record is from RNAcentral.
UCGUUUGUCCUUAUGGCUUCAUGCUGAUAAUUUGAGAUACUGUGGUUAAGAAUGUUCAGUACAAUGCCACUGGUGUCAAACAAAUUAGAAGAUGAACAUUCUUGGAGAACUUUUUGAGGAAAGUACUUAGUUCUUACAUUCAAUUCUAGAUCCUAGAAACUUGGAUAAAUAACUAGCUAUCUUUUAAUGCAGAUAUACAGACUUAUGCAGCAUGCAAAUGUAACAAAUAAAAAACAUGUUUUUUCCCAUUAAGUUAAUGGUGAAUUAAGACUUUUUUACUGUGUUUGGUGGUGUCUGGUCCUCAGGACGAUCAACCAUAUUUUUAGGCACUUCUCUUCAAGAAUAGUGAUUAUAGCAAUGGAUUUGAAAUGUUCUUUUCUAGAUUGUCUAUGGAUUGACAGCAUUUAUUGGUUUUUAAUUGGAUAUAAGGCAGGCACUAAAACUCAUUUUAUUACGCCCUUCUAUGAUGUUUUGAUGAAUAAAUGGUCUCAGAUGCUUAGUAGACAUACUAAUUUCACGUUAGUAGCAGUCACCACUUUCUCUUGUUCUUUUUCAAUAUUUAUUUAUUAUUGUGAAAACUAUUUUGUUACUGAUUUGUUAAAUAACUUCUUAUGAGCAUGAUGCAUGGGAGGGCGUUACCAACAGUGUUCUUAUAAUUUAAGCUGAUAACCGCGAAUAUGAUUUUAGGUUAUAUCCUGCUUUUUUUGGACUGACCAUUCCCAGGCUUAUUUGUGUCCCUUUGCCUCAUUUCCUCCAUCUAUGGUGCCUCUGUUCUUUUAAGGCUGUGUUCAUAUGUUAGUUCUCAUAGAAUGGGUAUAUGACUGAAUGUGAACUUGUUCCUUUUUCUUUCUUAUCCAGUCAAUUAUGUGUGACUUAUGGAUAAAAUAUGUAAUAAUGUUUAUUUAGCUGCUGCUUGUAUUUUUCUGUUACAGGAUGCACAAAAUAGAGUUGCAGCAUAUGCUCUUUGUCAGCUGUUUCCAGAUCUACCCAUUCAACUUGUAGUCACUGAGCCUUAUUCUUCUCUCAGUUUUCGAUGGAAAGAAGG